This is a long non-coding RNA of Wyeomyia smithii (pitcher-plant mosquito), 547 nucleotides long. RefSeq lists it as uncharacterized. NCBI's taxonomy places the organism in Eukaryota, Metazoa, Arthropoda, Insecta, Diptera, Culicidae. The record is from RefSeq and is a predicted model, not a curated record. The transcript is spliced from 3 exons.
UUUGCCGAAACUGCAACCUUCGGGCUUUUAGCAUGGGCAAUAAUCCUCGCGAGACAGGUCCGGUAACGAAGUUACCGUGGACGGUUGAUCUGAGGGAUCCCAAUGCCUGAUCUUUCAUUCUUAGCUGACAAGUGUAAGAGGCAGGAUUAACCUGCAGUUUAGAGUUCCGCGCGUGUACUAAGACAGAUAGCCUUUUCCCGCUAAAUAGCUAGGCAAAUCAGUGCAUGUGCGAAAUAGGAGAAAGUGUGCAAAGUGAGCAAGGAGUAUCGCUGCUAGUCAUCAUCCACUACACUUUCGUCAGCCCCAGCAGCAUUCCUAUGCAACACGAGCAUCGUCAAACGUUUAUGCCUGUACGGAACAGGCCGAAGGACCAAUAAUCGGCACCACUACCCUUGAUGAUCUCACCCGUCUACUGAUCGAAGCGCACGCUGUGCGCUGCCAGACAGCAGAGCAGACAACCGAGGAGACAAUAGGCGAGACGACAGAGUGACAACCCCCGUUUUUGACCCAGCGUGGCGCUGGUAGCGUACCGAAAGGAGUUCGGUAA